This 496-nucleotide ribosomal RNA is filed under the name uncultured bacterium. RNAcentral describes it as "partial 16S ribosomal RNA". It matches the Rfam family "Bacterial small subunit ribosomal RNA", at positions 28 to 506 of the family's 1533-position model. The record is from RNAcentral.
GAUGAACGCUGGCGGCGUGCCUAAUACAUGCAAGUCGAGCGAACAGACGAGGAGCUUGCUCCUCUGACGUUAGCGGCGGACGGGUGAGUAACACGUGGAUAACCUACCUAUAAGACUGGGAUAACUUCGGGAAACCGGAGCUAAUACCGGAUAAUAUAUUGAACCGCAUGGUUCAAUAGUGAAAGACGGUUUUGCUGUCACUUAUAGAUGGAUCCGCGCCGCAUUAGCUAGUUGGUAAGGUAACGGCUUACCAAGGCAACGAUGCGUAGCCGACCUGAGAGGGGGAUCGCCCCCACUGGAACUGAGAACCGGUCCCGACCCCCAGGGGAGGCAGAAGUAGGGAAUCUUCCGAAAUGGGCGAAAGCCUGACGGAGCAACGCCGCGUGGGUGAUGAAGGGCUUCGGAUCUUAAAACCUUUUUAUUGGGGAAAAAAAAAUGUGUAAGUAACUAUGCACGUUUUGACGGUACCUAAUCAGAAAGCCACGGUUAACUACGG